CUACGGGGGGCUCCAGUGAGGAAUUUUGCGCAAUGGGGGCAACCCUGACGCAGCAACGCCGCGUGAGUGAAGAAGGCCUUUGGGUCGUAAAGCUCUGUCAACUGGGAAGAAGUUACGAACAUUUAAUAAAUGUUAGUAUUGACGGUACCAGUGGAGGAAGCGCCGGCUAACUCCGUGCCAGCAGCCGCGGUAACACGGGGGGCGCAAGCGUUAUUCGGAAUUAUUGGGCGUAAAGGGCGCGCAGGCGGUUUUGUCAGUCAGGUGUGAAAGCCCGGGGCUCAACCCUGGAAGAGCACUUGAAACAGCAAGACUUGAAUACGGGAGAGGAGAGAGGAAUUCCUGGUGUAGAGGUGAAAUUCGUAGAUAUCAGGAGGAACACCGAUGGCGAAGGCAUCUCUCUGGACCGAUAUUGACGCUGAGGCGCGAAGGCGUGGGUAGCGAACGGGAUUAGAUACCCUGGUAGUC
RNAcentral lists this ribosomal RNA (465 nucleotides) under uncultured bacterium. Its description in RNAcentral is "partial 16S ribosomal RNA". It matches the Rfam family "Bacterial small subunit ribosomal RNA", at positions 339 to 795 of the family's 1533-position model. The record is from RNAcentral.